UUAUUGUAAAUUGUAACGCUGUGUCAAAAACUCAAAACGUGAAUAUACGUCGUGUAUGAUAGAUAAUCUGCUGUAUGGUACGAUCACCGAUGUGAUUAAAAAAAUGUUUAUUCUUGGAGUGAAGUUUUCCGAGACCUUGACCCCUUGGUCGACAGUUGACGGCUAUUGGUCACACUGGUCCCCGGGCCCCGUGAUACUGUCAACGGUUGUUAACGUUGCGUAAAACGGUUGGUGUAAAGCGGUGUACACGAAAACGCCGACAAUCAACCGGAUAGCAUACGAUUGUGGAAUAAGCUGCACCGCCCACCGGUGCAGUUGCAAUGCCGUUGCGAGCUGCAGCAUUAAAAUGUUUACGUGAAUGUUUUUCACCACUACCCGGGCGGCGUGCACAGCCGCGGUGGCUGAUGGACCGAACGAGAACCAAGGUUUUCUCUUCCACGGCCGUCGUCAUUCUCGUGAUACGAUCCCCCCCACGCGUCCCUUCACUGAUGUUUGGGACAACAUCCCCCCUCCGGCCAUAGGUGGCCGCAGUGGCGGUAAGUCCGUCGUGUUCCGUUUCGCGUCGAUGGGUCGUCCGUGUCCCCUUGUUUCGUUCCCUAAGUUCCGUAGUUCCGUUAUCCACCUUCUAAUUUUUUUCGGGUUUCGCCGUCUGAAUUUCUAGUGCCGCUGUUUGAGUUUCCGUAAUUGUUUCGCCGCCGGGGAUGCGGAUACGCUGGUCGCUAGGAGUGCGCGCGACUGUUCCGUUGGCCGUUUGCGUCGUCCGGCCACCCGCGACCACCGGCUGAGUUCGCUGGCUGUCGGAGGGUCUAGUGGACACCGGUGAGUUGUGCCGUUGUACCCCUGACUUGUCUGCGCGCGACGAUUGAGAAGAGGUGAUGCCGUACAAAUUGCUUUGGCUUCGACGUUACUGUCCAACUUGGCAUCUAAAUUGCAGUAAGUCCAUGUUUGGUAACUUUUAAG
This is a long non-coding RNA of Rhopalosiphum padi (bird cherry-oat aphid), 960 nucleotides long. RefSeq lists it as uncharacterized. NCBI's taxonomy places the organism in Eukaryota, Metazoa, Arthropoda, Insecta, Hemiptera, Aphididae. The transcript is spliced from 2 exons. The record is from RefSeq and is a predicted model, not a curated record.